AUAAUUCUGCCACCGGGUAGAGAUGCGUAAAGCACCGUGGUACAUCGUUAGGUCUUUGUAGAUGUACUCACGGUGCUUUUUCGGUG
This 86-nucleotide non-coding RNA is filed under the name unclassified sequences. The record is from RNAcentral.